AAAACGACUCUCGGCAACGGAUAUCUCGGCUCUCGCAUCGAUGAAGAACGUAGCGAAAUGCGAUACUUGGUGUGAAUUGCAGAAUCCCGUGAACCAUCGAGUCUUUGAACGCAAGUUGCGCCCCAAGCCUUCUGGUUGAGGGCACGUCUGCCUGGG
RNAcentral lists this ribosomal RNA (156 nucleotides) under Arabidopsis lyrata subsp. petraea. RNAcentral's name for it is "5.8S ribosomal RNA". It matches the Rfam family "5.8S ribosomal RNA". Rfam says of the family: 5.8S ribosomal RNA (5.8S rRNA) is a component of the large subunit of the eukaryotic ribosome. It is transcribed by RNA polymerase I as part of the 45S precursor that also contains 18S and 28S rRNA. The record is from RNAcentral. Lineage: Eukaryota; Viridiplantae; Streptophyta; Magnoliopsida; Brassicales; Brassicaceae.